This 30-nucleotide non-coding RNA is filed under the name Mus musculus (house mouse). Lineage: Eukaryota; Metazoa; Chordata; Mammalia; Rodentia; Muridae. The record is from RNAcentral.
UCCGAAGAAAACUCUAAAUGCAUACUCAAC